This 78-nucleotide transfer RNA is filed under the name Siphonobacter aquaeclarae. RNAcentral describes it as "tRNA_Val_TAC". It matches the Rfam family "tRNA". From Rfam's summary of the family: Transfer RNA (tRNA) molecules are approximately 80 nucleotides in length. Their secondary structure includes four short double-helical elements and three loops (D, anti-codon, and T loops). Further hydrogen bonds mediate the characteristic L-shaped molecular structure. tRNAs have two regions of fundamental functional importance: the anti-codon, which is responsible for specific mRNA codon recognition, and the 3' end, to which the tRNAs corresponding amino acid is attached (by aminoacyl-tRNA synthetases). tRNAs cope with the degeneracy of the genetic code in two manners: having more than one tRNA (with a specific anti-codon) for a particular amino acid; and 'wobble' base-pairing, i.e. permitting non-standard base-pairing at the 3rd anti-codon position. Lineage: Bacteria; Pseudomonadati; Bacteroidota; Cytophagia; Cytophagales; Cytophagaceae. The record is from RNAcentral.
GGGUGAUUAGCUCAGCUGGUUCAGAGCAUCUGCCUUACAAGCAGAGGGUCGGGGGUUCGAAUCCCUCAUCACCCACAA